RNAcentral lists this unclassified non-coding RNA (260 nucleotides) under Oryza sativa (Asian cultivated rice). Its description in RNAcentral is "precursor microRNA 319b". The stretch from base 34 to 231 matches the Rfam family "MIR159 microRNA precursor family". Lineage: Eukaryota; Viridiplantae; Streptophyta; Magnoliopsida; Poales; Poaceae. The record is from RNAcentral.
CAUAUUCUUUUAAUUUGAUGGAAGAAGCGAUCGAUGGAUGGAAGAGAGCGUCCUUCAGUCCACUCAUGGGCGGUGCUAGGGUCGAAUUAGCUGCCGACUCAUUCACCCACAUGCCAAGCAAGAAACGCUUGAGAUAGCGAAGCUUAGCAGAUGAGUGAAUGAAGCGGGAGGUAACGUUCCGAUCUCGCGCCGUCUUUGCUUGGACUGAAGGGUGCUCCCUCCUCCUCGAUCUCUUCGAUCUAAUUAAGCUACCUUGACAU